GGAAGCUGCGAUCGAUGGGCGAUAACCUGUCUCGAAAACAGGCGUGCAGUUCAUGCUGUAGAGGUUCGAUUCCUCCAGUUUCCG
Molecule: transfer RNA, 84 nt
Filed under: Leptolyngbyaceae cyanobacterium RM1_405_57
Lineage: Bacteria; Bacillati; Cyanobacteriota; Cyanophyceae; Leptolyngbyales; Leptolyngbyaceae
Also listed under: 2 other names
Description: tRNA-Ser
Source: RNAcentral